AUAUUUCAUUCGCACCAGGAGCUUUAUAAAUACUACGCAUACUGCACAUUCCUAUUCUAUUGCAAUCUGAGUUAUGCCCGAUCAAAGACAAAGUGAUUAACUCGUUAAUAAGUCAAACGAAAACAAGAAACUACUUACGACUUUCCCCAUUUGCGAUUGGACUGACGCCACAUCAACGUUACAAAAUUAUGAUUUUUCGCAUCGUUAUUGUAUGCUUUGCAUUAUUUGUAAUGUCAUCUGAAUCUAAAGCCUUUUUCGGGGGAGGAGGAAACAAUUUCAUGGUUGGACUUCCGUCAUUAACACAAGUUUCCGGUUGCCAACCAUUCACAAUGAUACAGGUUAAUUGCCAAAUGUGCAAAUGCUGGUUUGGUAGUAUUGCAAUUUGUCGUAAUUUGUUGACUUGUCCAACAUCAUCAACGCCACUUGUUUCCACGACCACGCCCCGCCCAACUACGACAAUUCCAGCCGUAGGAUAAGUCUCAGGAAAAAUUAUUAUCUAAAAUAUUCGUUUUUCUUGGUUUGUCUCAUCUUAUGUUCUGCUCAUUUAUUCGGUAGCUACACACUUGAAAAUGAAGUAAGUUACAUAGACUUAAUUUGAAAUUUUUAGCGUACAUUGUUUCUUAAAAUAUUUGAAGCUUAUUUUCCGAAAUAAUCCUGCUAUCAACACUUUGGGAGUUGCUUAUAAAUAAAUUGGUGUACGAGAAAAUAAGAUAAAUGUAAUGUAGAUUGAGUUUGUUGCAUCCAUUUAUUUAUAUUCAACCUCGAGGGAAUUUUUUAUGAUGGAGAGGCGAUAAAGUGGCACAAUAAAGCACAAUUCAAGGCGAUUACAAUCGUUUAUAAAUUGUACAUGUUUAUCUUUCUCCUGCUUCUCCUUGCACACUGGUAAAAUUCAUGUAAGCCAGAAUACUGACAACUGAAUCGUGCUGCCAGCAAGAGAAGAGAAAAGAGACUUUUGCCCAUAUACAAAGUAAUGCCGGUUUACAAAUGGUGUACAAAUCCAUCUUAAAUCAAGUUCGGAGUCAUAGUGCUGCUUGGCCAUUCUUGAAACCCGUUGAUCGAAACGAAGUUCCGAAAUACGUCAAUACUUAUACAUGACUAAUUCAACAGGCACGCCUCGAGUAAUGGAUUGGAUAAUCUGUAAGUUUCCACUGAUUAUUAAUUUUUGUCACACGAAUGUACAUACUUGUCAGUAUUUCAGAAGACAAUUUUCAAGAUUUUAUUAACACAGCAACUGUAUUGACAUAAAUACAUACAUAUUUGUCCGUAUUAAAAAAAUAAG
Molecule: long non-coding RNA, 1279 nt
Organism: Folsomia candida
Lineage: Eukaryota; Metazoa; Arthropoda; Collembola; Entomobryomorpha; Isotomidae
Exons: 4
Source: RefSeq, a predicted model, not a curated record